UCGAUGUAUGGUCUAUAGCUGCUAAAAUGAUUUUAUCACUAAAAAACAUGUCCCGUAUCUGCAUUUGUAUCAUUUUAAGGUCUAUCGAAUAUUUACCGUGAUAAAAUCAUUUUAGCAGCUAUAGGCUAUAUCUAA
This 135-nucleotide microRNA precursor is filed under the name Olea europaea subsp. europaea. The record is from RNAcentral. Lineage: Eukaryota; Viridiplantae; Streptophyta; Magnoliopsida; Lamiales; Oleaceae.